ACCACUUUAAAUCAAUGGCUGCCGGGACGUUUGACGAGUGACAUCCUAUGCUGCAGGGACGUCACUCGAUGGACGCCCAGGCUGUUGGGGCCACAAAAUGAUGUUACAAAUAUCAAGCGUCUGGAUAGGAGAAACAAAUAUAACGCACCCAUAGGGAGUAGCGCCAUUUUGUAAAAAAUGCAAAAAAAAAAUCCCUUAGAUAACAGUCAUGCAGAAUAUGUAAAAAAGCUUUUUUUUAGGUUUCAGCCAAUCAGAGAGCAGCACUGCUCAAAUAGAACUCCCAGGAGGUAGCAGCGUGUCACACAUGUGAUGUCAUAACCAUUGUCCACCAGAGAGCAGCACUGAGCAGAUAUAACACUGCUCCUGCUCAUUCUUCACCAGUGAGGGGCCGGUGCUGGACACUGUAGGGACGCGGGAAUGUGAAGUCAAAAACAUGACUGUGACUGAUGCACUAUUUCCAGCAUGUGGAGUAGCAUUUCCGGACUUACUGCAAGAAGUUGGAUGAUGGCCUAGAUUUCCGGACUUACAGCAAGACGUUGGAUGAAGGCCUAGAUUUCCGGACCUACAGCAAGAAGUUGGAUGAAGGCACAGCCCCUCAAAUCACGCACAUACACAGACACAUUUGCCCAAAUUCUAGAGGUAACCUCCUUUAGUAUGCCCAGAGGAAGGGCAAUACAGUAGCCAUGGAUUCCCUACAGGUUUCCUCCCCUCUGGAGGUUUUUCCUGUCCUGAGUUAGUUACUGUACGCUCUUUGUGAGUGAUGGGAGGUUACAAAAAAUCCCCUACACAAACAUUUUAAUAAAUAAUAAAUAAAGUUUCCCUUUUUUAAACUGUU
Molecule: long non-coding RNA, 835 nt
Organism: Hyla sarda
Lineage: Eukaryota; Metazoa; Chordata; Amphibia; Anura; Hylidae
Exons: 2
Source: RefSeq, a predicted model, not a curated record